GAAUUCCUGUAGUUGAAGAAUGAGAUUUUGUAUGGUACAUUUUUAAUGACAGCUUGGAUAUUGGAAUACUUAACUUUUGUUGUAGCCAAUGAGAAGGAUAUACCACUAAUGGUAUCUAAAUCAUACAGCAUGUACUUUAGGAUGGGGACAGUAUCACAAUGAUUUAUUUCUUUACAUGUGAGUACACUGUUGGUGUCUUCAGACAUACCAGAAGAUGACUUCAGAUCCCAUUACAUAUGGGUUGUGAGCUACCAUGUGGUUUCAGGGAUUUGAACUCUGGAUCUCUGGAAGAGUAGUCAGUGCUUGUAACCUCUGAGCCAUCUUUCUAGCCUCCCCCCUGCUAUCUUUUAGAAAUGUAAUUUGCCAUACCUUGAGCAAUGUUCUUGAUGUCAUAGGAUAUUUUACAGAUAACUUCACUUAAGAUAAUUAGAAUAAA
Molecule: long non-coding RNA, 436 nt
Filed under: Mus pahari (shrew mouse)
Lineage: Eukaryota; Metazoa; Chordata; Mammalia; Rodentia; Muridae
Description: predicted gene 28586 (MGP_PahariEiJ_G0032882.1)
Source: RNAcentral